Molecule: long non-coding RNA, 863 nt
Filed under: Sus scrofa (pig)
Lineage: Eukaryota; Metazoa; Chordata; Mammalia; Artiodactyla; Suidae
Description: lncRNA (ENSSSCG00060030396.1)
Source: RNAcentral
UAUUCUAAUCAUUUAUGUUUGCCAGACCCUGUGGUAUUUCAGGCCAGGUGACAAUUAUCUUUUUUUUAAUUUCCCCCCACUUUUCAGGGCCACACCCUUGGCAUAUGGAGGUUUCCAGGCUAGGGGUCUAAUCGGAGCUACAGCUGCUGGCCACAGUCACAGCCGCAGCAACGCUUGUACUGAGCCGUGUCUGCAACCUACACCACAGAUCACAGCAAUGCCAGAUCCUGAACCCACUGAGCGAGGCCAGGGUCUGAAGUGGCAUCCUCACGGACACUAGUCAGGUUCGUUACUGCUGAGCUACAACAGGAACUCCUAUCCUAAAGAAACUGAUUGCUGAGCAGGAGAAUUGUGUUACACACAGAAUUUCCAUGUCAGGUAGAUGGUGACUAAAACUGCAGGAAGGCUUCUCCUGAAGGACACUGGAGUUCAGAGGACAGCAGAUGUGACUGCCAGUCAAUGCCACACACUGGAGGAGAGGAAGUGCCACCUUGGGGAGACCAGAAUCCUUCUGUUCCAGGUGCACAUGCUCCGGAGAAGGUCUGAUUUCCUUUAAUAGGAAAAGAUGCUACAGGUUGGGGAACAGAGUGUGUACCGGGGGAAGGGAAGGGAACAACAAACAUGCGAGUCCCUGAGUACUGAGGCAAAGGAGAGACAAGUCCAGGAGAAGCUGGUCUGGGUCUGUGCAGGAGGUCUGAGCCCUUCAGGCAUCCUUCUGAGAUUCUGAGACUGUCCCUCUGCUGUUUCUUCCCACUGGUGGGACUCUGCCUGUAAGUCAGGUAGGUGCCACUAGGUGGAGAAGUGUCUGGAUGACAACCUCUAGCAUGAUUUCUCCUGGGCUCUGGUAGCAGAGCAGAUAGAGG